GAUUAACCGGCCUAGUCAUUGACUCAGAUCUAUCCAACGGAUGCAGUUGACGGGCAUGUGGAGCAAGAGAACGAGAAGACACUGGGGUGUGGAGAAAAGGAGGAGGAUAAGAGGUCAUUCUUGAGGUGGGAGUGGGAGCACCAACAUCAUGAUACAUUUGGUACCUCCAAUCUGAAUGGUACUCAGCCUCUAUAACUGCCCAUCUCUCUUCGAAGAUCUCUGAUAACUGUUCAGCCAUAACAUGUACAUCUUGCCCUCUAGGAUUAUAAGUCAUGGCAUUACGAAAGACGAGUCGUACAUCCUCCGCAAAUUCCAUUGGAGACUUGUACCAAUCAUCAGAUAACCUAGUCUUAAUGGUGCCCAAAUCCAUAGGAUGCUUAAUGAUGUCAUGAUAAUCAUGUAGCCCAAGAGAUUUCACGUUCACUGGCUCAUUAAACACCCAACCAUGCUUGUGUUUCAUUAACCUCUGAAGCAAGCUGCUACAAUUCCUAAAAACCUGAAGUCUGUG
This 508-nucleotide unclassified non-coding RNA is filed under the name Hevea brasiliensis (rubber tree). The record is from RNAcentral. Lineage: Eukaryota; Viridiplantae; Streptophyta; Magnoliopsida; Malpighiales; Euphorbiaceae.